UGAUGGAUGAUAAUAUACUAUUUAGAACAUGUUUUUACACACUGCUUUAUAGUAUAGAUUAUGGAUGACUUUAUAAUAUGAAGAUGCUUUUGAGAUAUAUGUACCUAUAUUUGGAAAGAUUAUAUUCAAUGUUUUUUGCAUAUCUAGUGGUCACUGUUCUGGGUGAUGAUACUUAUAUUGGCUUUGGCCGAGUAUAGGUUGGUGCCUGAAGGUGAUCAUACUCUUAUAUUAGCUUCGACUGGGAGUAGGUUGGUGCCUGAGGGUGCUGACACUUUUAUAUUGGCUUUGGCCGGGUGUAGGUUGGUGGCUUCGGCUAGGCGUAGAUUGGUGGCUUCGGCCAUAUGAUACUAACAAUGAUACCACUAGUUAGCACACUAUAUGUACGAGAUACGUUUUAUGAAAGUUUUAU
RNAcentral lists this long non-coding RNA (409 nucleotides) under Malus domestica (apple). Its description in RNAcentral is "long non-coding RNA (MDOM_LNC013429)". Lineage: Eukaryota; Viridiplantae; Streptophyta; Magnoliopsida; Rosales; Rosaceae. The record is from RNAcentral.